AAAGGGUAGCAAUACCUGAGUAAAGCGGCGCACGGGUGAGUAACACGUGGAUAACCUGCCUCAAAGUGGGGAAUAACACCGGGAAACCGGUGCUAAUACCGCAUAUUCUGACGAGAUCUGUGGAUUUUGUCAGGAAAGGAGCAAUUCGCUAUGAGAGGGGUCCGCGGCUGAUUAGCUAGUUGGUGAGGUAAUGGCUCACCAAGGCCACGAUCAGUAGCCGGUCUGAGAGGACGGUCGGCCACACUGGAACUGAGACACGGUCCAGACUCCUACGGGAGGCAGCAGUGGGGAAUUUUUCGCAAUGGGGGCAACCCUGACGAAGCAAUGCCGCGUGGAUGAUGAAGUAUCUCGGUACGUAAAAUCCUUUCGACGGGGACGAAACCGCAAGGUUGACGGUACCCGUAGAAGAAGCCCCGGCUAACUCCGUGCCAGCAGCCGCGGUAAUACGGGGGGGGCAAGCGUUGUUCGGAAUUACUGGGCGUAAAGGGUGCGUAGGCGGCUUUCUAAGUCGGAUGUGAAAACUCUGGGCUCAACCCAGAGCCUGCAUCCGAAACUGGAGAGCUAGGGUUCUGGAGGGGAAAGCGGAAUUCCUGGUGUAGCGGUGAAAUGCGUAGAUAUCAGGAGGAACACCGGUGGCGAAGGCGGCUUUCUGGACAGAUACCGACGCUGAGGCACGAAAGCUAGGGGAGCAAACAGGAUUAGAUACCCUGGUAGUCCUAGCCCUAAACUAUGGAUACUUGCUGUGGGGGGGAUUGAAGCCCCCUUGUGGCGAAGCUAACGCAUUAAGUA
Molecule: ribosomal RNA, 789 nt
Filed under: uncultured Bacillota bacterium
Lineage: Bacteria; Bacillati; Bacillota
Description: bacterial SSU rRNA
Rfam family: Bacterial small subunit ribosomal RNA
Source: RNAcentral